UAGUAGUGUGACAUGCUCGUUUGGGAUUUACUGUGAUGUAUGUGUAUUUAUUAAUAAAUUAUUUUUGGGUAACGGGGUGUUACAAUUGG
This 89-nucleotide microRNA precursor is filed under the name Medicago truncatula (barrel medic). RNAcentral describes it as "MIR2617 microRNA precursor family". It matches the Rfam family "MIR2617 microRNA precursor family". Lineage: Eukaryota; Viridiplantae; Streptophyta; Magnoliopsida; Fabales; Fabaceae. The record is from Rfam by way of RNAcentral.